RNAcentral lists this ribosomal RNA (481 nucleotides) under uncultured bacterium. RNAcentral's name for it is "partial 16S ribosomal RNA". It matches the Rfam family "Bacterial small subunit ribosomal RNA", at positions 28 to 507 of the family's 1533-position model. The record is from RNAcentral.
GAUGAACGCUGGCGGCGUGCUUAACACAUGCCAGUCGAACGAAGCAUUUGCGACAGAUUUUUUCGGAAUGAAGUUGCUUAUGACUGAGUGGCGGACGGGUGGGUAACGCGUGGGUAACCUGCCUUGUACUGGGGGAUAGCAGCUGGAAACGGCUGGUAAUACCGCAUAAGCGCACAAUGUUGCAUGACAUGGUGUGAAAAACUCCGGUGGUAUAAGAUGGACCCGCGUCUGAUUAGCUAGUUGGUGAGAUAACAGCCCACCAAGGCGACGAUCAGUAGCCGACCUGAGAGGGUGACCGGCCACAUUGGGACUGAGACACGGCCCAGACUCCUACGGGAGGCAGCAGUGGGGAAUAUUGCACAAUGGAGGAAACUCUGAUGCAGCGACGCCGCGUGAGUGAAGAAGUAAUUCGUUAUGUAAAGCUCUAUCAGCAGGGAAGAUAGUGACGGUACCUGACGAAGAAGCUCCGGCUAAAUACGUG